This 253-nucleotide ribosomal RNA is filed under the name uncultured bacterium. Its description in RNAcentral is "partial 16S ribosomal RNA". It matches the Rfam family "Bacterial small subunit ribosomal RNA", at positions 524 to 776 of the family's 1533-position model. The record is from RNAcentral.
UACGGAGGGUGCAAGCGUUAUCCGGAUUCACUGGGUUUAAAGGGUGCGUAGGCGGUCGCGUAAGUCAGGUGUGAAAUCUCAGGGCUCAACCCUGAAACUGCACUUGAUACUGCGUGGCUCGGGUACUGGAGAGGAGACUGGAAUUUACGGUGUAGCAGUGAAAUGCGUAGAUAUCGUAAGGAAGACCAGUGGCGAAGGCGAGUCUCUGGACAGUUACCGACGCUGAGGCACGAAGGUCAGGGGAGCAAACGGG